This is a long non-coding RNA of Cynoglossus semilaevis (tongue sole), 1518 nucleotides long. RefSeq lists it as uncharacterized. The transcript has 6 exons. The record is from RefSeq and is a predicted model, not a curated record. NCBI's taxonomy places the organism in Eukaryota, Metazoa, Chordata, Actinopteri, Pleuronectiformes, Cynoglossidae.
GAGAGGCACAGGGAGGCGGGGGAGAGGAGGACGACAGAGGAAAGGGGAGGAGGAGAGAAGGAAGGGGGGGCACAAGGAGGAAGGAAGGAAGGAAAGAAGAGCAGCACAAACAAACAGAGCCAAAUAAAGGUGUUUGUUCAAUUUUAAGCAGGUCUGAAGGGCAAAUGUAUGUGAUUUUAAUCUUCGUAAUGUAUAGUUAUCAUUUGAUUUCCGUAUUAAUUCAUUCUUCUAACGUUUUGAUACAGUACAGUACGAGUUUUUGUUACAUUUUCAUAAAAUAAAUAAACAGUUGGUAAAAUACAGAAAUGGAAGAAGAAUAAAAAAGACAGCACCUACACAAAAAGUCAAACAAUUAAAACAAAAGAAAAGGUUGAAUUAACUAGAUUGGUAAAAUAGAAAUAGGUGAGUGAGAUUUUUCAUUAGCUAGCCUGCAAUCAGUUAAAAGCAGGAGUUUCCAGAAACUCUCAAGACAAAAAAGACAAUAUUUAACAAUGAUUUAAAAUAAAUCAAAUAAUAUUUAACCUUGAACACCUUUUCUUAAACGUUUAUUUGAGGUUUUGUUGCUCUUUGCAGACCUAGUGUUUCAGCUAACCUCUAUCGCUGAAACUUUCAAUUUAAUAAUAAUUCGUCAUAGGAAAUCCAACUGUACGGUUAUUUAUUUUAAUUAAUAAAUAAUUUAAAUUCAGUUCCAAAACUAAGGGGGCUGAAGUGGAGCAGUGAUAUAAUUAUUACCUGACUUAAUCUGAUUUAAUUUGUAUGAGAAAAUUUGAUUCCAUACAAACAUAUUCAGACAUACAUCUAUCUAUGCUAUCUUGUAAUACGGUGUUACGUUUGAAUGAUAGUGCUGUCAUUUCCUACGCACAAAUCGGUCAUUAAAGUGCUCCUGGAGAAACUGACGGUCAAGCCUGUUAAUCUUCUCUCCUCGACAGCAGACGUGAAGUGGUUGCAGAGGGAAACUGCCAGAAGAGAAGCUGAUAAUCUCAAGCUGCAACGAUGGAAGAUAACACAGUCAUAAAACCUAAUGGUGAUGAUGCGUCAGUGACUAUUGAGGGUUCGAUUUUAGAGGUUGGUGUUGGCAGUUGCUGUAGUUGUGUUGUCAUGGCAGCAGCAACAGCCACGGCAGCUGUGGCCAGGUUAUCAACACACGACCAGAGAACCCUGAGUUACUCCAAAACUGCUGCAGUUCCUGAUGUUUAGGCAGAGGUGGAGACAGGUGGAUGUGAGGAUGAACCACAGCACUGGGCUGAUACUGACUCAUCCAGCAGAAAACUUCAGGGGAGGCGGAGGUGUGAGGAACAGCUGCAGGAGAAUGACUAUUACUGCACGAAAACAGAGAAGGUCUUGCACUUCCUGUCUUACUGCGUGCACUCACCUCCCUGGUCCUGCAGUUCCCCCAAAGGUUGAUGCGUCACCAAAACUAGGCUCCUGGGUGUUGGACCCACACGCUGCAGCUACAGAGAGGGGAACCUCAGCUCUGAAAUGUCAGCUUCAGGAGAGCUGCUGCCACUGCGGUCGCUG